UUUUCCAUGGAAGUAGAACACAAUACCAUCAGCUCCAAUGAACCUGGGGUCCAAGCAUGCUGAGCCGGGACCGUUACAGUUUGGUUUUGAACCUGUCAUUGUGGAACAAAAAACAAAUAAGCGAUUCGCAGUUGACGUAACAAACUUUGUCGGUAUGGUUUGAUGGUGAUUUUGAUGGGCAUUCUGCUGGGCAACGCAUCUGCUUGAAACGACACGGGCUGUUGCUCCUGUAACAAGUUAAUGUAUCAGCACCAUGGAUCUGCAACAAACCAGACAUGAACACCAGAAGAAUGAUAGAGAUUUCAUUUCUGCUAAAUCUCCCCAUGAUCAUCUGAGCUUCUUCAAUGGCAGCCAAUGACUUGAGAUGGUCAAGCACAGGUUUUCCUUGUAUCUUUUAUAAAAGCCAUUGAGUGCGAAAGUGGGCAUUUUCCCAGACUAUUAAGCACUAUUGAAGCAAAUGCAUUGUUCCAUUUUU
Molecule: long non-coding RNA, 475 nt
Organism: Benincasa hispida (wax gourd)
Lineage: Eukaryota; Viridiplantae; Streptophyta; Magnoliopsida; Cucurbitales; Cucurbitaceae
Source: RefSeq, a predicted model, not a curated record